CCUACGGGAGGCAGCAGUGGGGAAUAUUGCACAAUGGGGGAAACCCUGAUGCAGCGACGCCGCGUGAGUGAAGAAGUAAUUCGUUACGUAAAGCUCUAUCAGCAGGGAAGAAAAUGACGGUACCUGAGUAAGAAGACACGGCUAACUACGUGCCAGCAGCCGCGGUAAGACGUAGGGGGCAAGCGUUAUCCGGAUUUACUGGGUGUAAAGGGGGCGUAGACGGUGCGCCAAGUCUGGAGUGAAAUGCCGCGGCUUAACUGCGGAACUGCUUUGGAUACUGGCGAACUAGAGUGCGGGAGGGGUAGGCGGAAUUCCUGGGGUAGCGGUGAAAUGCGUAGAUAUGAGGAGGAACACCGGUGGCGAAGGCGGCUUACUGGACCGUAACUGACGUUGAGGCUCGAAAGCGUGGGGAGCAAACAGGAUUAGAUACCCUAGUAGUC
Molecule: ribosomal RNA, 440 nt
Filed under: uncultured bacterium
Lineage: Bacteria
Description: partial 16S ribosomal RNA
Rfam family: Bacterial small subunit ribosomal RNA
Source: RNAcentral